UUUUCAAAGUUUGUAUCCAAAUAGAAUACAUAUACAUGUAUAUAGUUUCCGAGAUAUAAGUUUGAUUAAAUAAAAUAUAUGGUAUGAUUGCCAAUGAGGCAACUAUACAGCAGAAUCCAAACAAAAGCGGAUUUAUAAAAAAGAAGAUGUGGUAUUAUUGUCAAUGAGACAACUAUCCACAAAAGACCAAAAUGACACAGACAUUAACAACUAUAGGUCACCGUACGGCCUUCAACAAUGAGCAAAGCCCAUACCGCAUAGUCAUCUAUAAAAGGCCCCGAUAAGACAAUGUAAAACAAUUCAAACGAGAAAACUAACGGCCUUAUUUAUGUAAAAAAAUGAACGAAAAACAAAUAUGUAACACAUAAACAAAAGACAACCACUGAAUUACAGGCUCCUGACUUGGGACAGGCACAUACAUAAAUAAUGUGGCGGGCUUAAACAUGUAAGCAGGAUCCCAACCUUUCCCUAACCUGGGACAGUGGUAUAACAGUACAAAAAAAAAAAGAGUAGGCUAAUGCCGCUACAAGGCAGCACUCGCACCCGCAAAGUGGAAAGGGAUUAAUAUAAGUUGCAAAACUUGUUUCCCAAUCCACUUUAAAUAAUAUGUUUAAACUAACAGUACAACAUUAGAACGAACUAUACAAAUUUAGCAACUUUAGGCUACCGUACGGCUUUCAACAAAGAGUAAAUCCGAUACCGUUUUCUUUAUACUUAAAUCAAAACUUUAUAGAAGAAAAAUACCUCUAUAAAGUUUACGCCGCCGACGCGCUUUUCUUGAUUAACCUACAUCAGAAACGCUAACCCGAA
RNAcentral lists this long non-coding RNA (810 nucleotides) under Mytilus galloprovincialis (Mediterranean mussel). Lineage: Eukaryota; Metazoa; Mollusca; Bivalvia; Mytilida; Mytilidae. The record is from RNAcentral.